UACGUAGGGGGCAAGCGUUGUCCGGAUUUAUUGGGCGUAAAGAGCGUGUAGGCGGCCAGGUAGGUCCGUUGUGAAAACUCGAGGCUCAACCUCGAGACGUCGGCGGAAACCCUCUGGCUAGAGUCCGGAAGAGGAGAGUGGAAUUCCUGGUGUAGCGGUGAAAUGCGCAGAUAUCAGGAGGAACACCGGUGGUGUAGACGGCUUUCUGGACCGACACUGACGCUGAGGCGCGAAAGCGUGGGGAGCAAACAGG
This 253-nucleotide ribosomal RNA is filed under the name uncultured bacterium. RNAcentral's name for it is "partial 16S ribosomal RNA". It matches the Rfam family "Bacterial small subunit ribosomal RNA", at positions 524 to 776 of the family's 1533-position model. The record is from RNAcentral.